GUGCUUGCUUUGGCAGCACACAUACUAAAAUGGGAAUGGGACACAGAGGAUGCUAUAGCAUGGCCCCUGCUCUCGGAUGACACGCAAAUUCGUGAUGCAUUCCAUAGUCUU
This is a small nuclear RNA of Otolemur garnettii (small-eared galago), 111 nucleotides long. The record is from Ensembl. Lineage: Eukaryota; Metazoa; Chordata; Mammalia; Primates; Galagidae.